GAGACUAAUGGAGGACAUGGAUUGCUGGAGCAGGAGACACAGUGGGAACCUGCUCCACUACUCAAGUACCUCCAGGGGCCCUGAGCCCAGGGGGAACACAGACUCCUUCACAUCUGCUGGCAGACAAGCAGGUGAGAGUUAAGACACUAUAUAUACUCUGCUCCAAUUUCCACGAGGCAGCAGCGUGUGGCUCAUGCACGGGUGGGUAUGCAGAGCUCACUCUCUGGCUUCCGAACGAUUUCAGCACAAACUCAGCUCCUACCUCCCUCUCUUCAAACCAGUCUCUCACCAUACAAUACAGCUAGCUUGUGAAAAAAUGCCUUGUACAGCCAUAAACUAUAGCUAGAGUCUAUAGAUAUUUGUAUUUUAAAUGUCUGGAGAUGCACCCACACUGUGGAAUAAACAAAAUCUAGCUAAUUAAUAGAUACUGUCAACACCUGGCAAGAAUACUUAACUCAAUAUUUUCAGGAACAUCCUAGCCAGUCACCAACUCAGCAACAGCUGUGAAGGCCUGAUCCUUUCAUGCCAACCCCCUACUGCCCAGGCAGCCCAGCCGCUAGCCCCCCACUUACAGAUCAGCUGUGAUCUAUAGAUCUAUAGGUCCAUCAGCCCAGAUGGGACUGAAACCACAUGGCAGUGCCUGCUCUGAUGUCACUCGACCUAACAUCCCUCAGAUUUAACCAUCCUGGUGACAGUCUCAUCACAACUCCUGACACAGUCUCUCUGGCUCAGUGCUCAGCUUAGCCAGUCAGAGGGAUAGAUAAAAUUCAACAGCAUUUAUUAUUUUGUGAAUCAGAUACCACGCCAGUUAUUAAAACGUAACAACUCAAGAAACAGAAUUCUUAUUUUAUAAAGUUAGGUAAAUACAGCAGAAUCUAACAAAAUUUAGC
RNAcentral lists this long non-coding RNA (890 nucleotides) under Mus musculus (house mouse). RNAcentral describes it as "long non-coding RNA chr3:129998536-129999426". Lineage: Eukaryota; Metazoa; Chordata; Mammalia; Rodentia; Muridae. The record is from RNAcentral.